RNAcentral lists this unclassified non-coding RNA (220 nucleotides) under soil metagenome. RNAcentral's name for it is "partial contains 5.8S ribosomal RNA, internal transcribed spacer 2, and large subunit ribosomal RNA". The record is from RNAcentral.
AACCAUUCUCACCUGCGGCUAGACCUGCGGAAGGAUCAUUACAGAGUUGCAAGACUCCCUAAACCAUUGUGAACCUACCUUCUACCGUUGCUUCGGCGGGCGGGCCCAGCGCCCCCCCGGCCCCCCGCGGGCGCCCGCCGGAGGAUACCCAAACUCUUGACAUUAGUGGCCUCUCUGAGUAUUCUUUACUGAAUAAGUCAAAACUUUCAACAAUGGAUCU